Molecule: ribosomal RNA, 1361 nt
Filed under: uncultured bacterium
Lineage: Bacteria
Also listed under: 1 other name
Description: 16S ribosomal RNA
Rfam family: Bacterial small subunit ribosomal RNA
Source: RNAcentral
AUGAACGCCGGCGGUGUGCCUAAUACAUGCAAGUCGUACGCAGGUGCUUGCACCUGAGUGGCGGACGGGUGAGUAACACGUAGGUAACCUGCCCCGGAGCGGGGGAUAACAUUUGGAAACAGAUGCUAAUACCGCAUAACAACAAAGCCGCAUGGCUUUUGUUGAAAGAUGUUUGUAUCACUCUGGGAUGGACCUGCGGUGCAUUAGCUAGUUGGUAAGGUAACGGCUUACCAAGGCGAUGAUGCAUAGCCGAGUUGAGAGACUGAUCGGCCACAAUGGAACUGAGACACGGUCCGUACUCCUACGGGAGGCAGCAGUAGGGAAUCUUCCACAAUGGGCGCAAGCCUGAUGGAGCAACACCGCGUGAGUGAAGAAGGGUUUCGGCUCGUAAAGCUCUGUUGUUGGAGAAGAACGUGCGUGAGGUAAUUCACGCAGUGACGGUAUCCAACCAGAAAGUCACGGCUAACUACGUGCCAGCAGCCGCGGUAAUACGUAGGUGGCAAGCGUUAUCCGGAUUUAUUGGGCGUAAAGCGAGCGCAGCGGUUGCUUAGGUCUGAUGUGAAAGCCUUCGGCUUAACCGAAGAAGUGCAUCGGAAACCGGGCGACUUGAGUGCAGAAGAGGACAGUGGAACUCCAUGUGUAGCGGUGGAAUGCGUAGAUAUAUGGAAGAACACCAGUGGCGACGGCGGCUCUCUGGUCUGCAACUGACGCUGAGGCUCGAAAGCAUGGGUAGCGAACAGGAUUAGAUACCUGGUAGUCCAUGCCGUAAACGAUGAGUGCUAAGUGUUGGGAGGUUUCCCCUCUCAGUGCUGCAGCUAACGCAUUAAGCACUCCGCCUGGGGAGUACGACCGCAAGGUUGAAACUCAAAGGAAUUGACGGGGGCCCGCACAAGCGGUGGAGCAUGUGGUUUAAUUCGAAGCAACGCGAAGAACCUUACCAGGUCUUGACAUCCAGUGCAAACCUAAGAGAUUAGGAGUUCCCUUCGGGGACGCAAUGACAGGUGGUGCAUGGUCGUCGUCAGCUCGUGUCGUGAGAUGUUGGGUUAAGUCCCGCAACGAGCGCAACCCUUGUUACUAGUUGCCAGCAUUAAGUUGGGCACUCUAGUGAGACUGCCGGUGACAAACCGGAGGAAGGUGGGGACGACGUCAGAUCAUCAUGCCCCUUAUGACCUGGGCUACACACGUGCUACAAUGGACGGUACAACGAGUCGCGAACUCGCGAGGGCAAGCAAAUCUCUUAAAACCGUUCUCAGUUCGGACUGCAGGCUGCAACUCGCCUGCACGAAGUCGGAAUCGCUAGUAAUCGCGGAUCAGCAUGCCGCGGUGAAUACGUUCCCGGGCCUUGCACACACCGCCCGUCA